CAAAGUAUAGCUUAAACACAAAGCAUCUAGCUUACACCUAGAAGAUACCAUGCAAAAAUGGCUACUUUGA
RNAcentral lists this transfer RNA (70 nucleotides) under Phyllostomus hastatus (greater spear-nosed bat). RNAcentral describes it as "tRNA-Val". It matches the Rfam family "tRNA". From Rfam's summary of the family: Transfer RNA (tRNA) molecules are approximately 80 nucleotides in length. Lineage: Eukaryota; Metazoa; Chordata; Mammalia; Chiroptera; Phyllostomidae. The record is from RNAcentral.